RNAcentral lists this long non-coding RNA (1819 nucleotides) under Bos indicus x Bos taurus (hybrid cattle). RNAcentral's name for it is "lncRNA (ENSBIXG00005017717.1)". The record is from RNAcentral. Lineage: Eukaryota; Metazoa; Chordata; Mammalia; Artiodactyla; Bovidae.
GAAGGAAAGAGGACAUGCCAUUGUCUUUCAGGAUUUCUAGUUCAGCCGACCCAACCCCAGAACAUUAUGCCAUUUCCUGGUAGGUCUGAGUCGAGCUCUGUGUGAAUUGCCCUCUGAGUCAAAAACCAAGCGAAUGACAUGCUUGUCCGAAGACUUUCUUCUUGCCCUCGCCUCACUUUUUAUUCUUUACUGUCCUUUUGUGCACCUGUUGUGCUAUGCAUUUUAUUCUUAUGUUUUUCUGACUGCUGGGGUUGCUUCCAGAAGGAUACCCUAAGACGGCAGAGAAAUUAAUGCAUCCAGGGACUUCAAGCAGAAAAAUCCAUCUGACCUGGUGACAGUUGGUAAGCAUUAGAGAAAAUCUCAUUUACUUGAGAACCAUAAGUUUGGCAAUUUCAUUUCUGCUUACUUCACUGCCCUACCCAAAGCUCCAGGUUCAAUCAAAGAGAGGAGGAAAAAGCAACUUCACCCAAUUUGGUCAUAGAGAGGGCUUUAAAGCCCAUAGCAAGUCUGUUCAGAGGAAAGGAACUAUAAGAAAAAUAUCUCAUUGUUGUUGGUCCAAAUCCGACUUCCGGAUGCCCUAUUGCAUUUUAAUGAAAACCUGAAGCCAGGUCCCAGAUUUCCUUUUCAGCUGAUGGAUGCGGUGUUCCGCUGCAGAAGAAAGCACACAUUCUUUCUGCCUUUUCUCCUUCCAGCUGCUUUAUUGGGUGCUUUAUCUCAACCACUUACCAUUGUUUUAUGAUGAAGGCUUCAUCAUAAAAACCUCAAGUCUUUUUAUCUUGCUGCUCUGCCAUUCCUAACUGCUGCUGCUAAGUUGCCUCAAUCGUGUCUGACUCUGUGAGACCCCAUAGACGGCAGCCCACCAGGCUCCCCCGCCCCUGGGAUUCUCCAGGCAAGAACACUGGAGUGGGUUGCCAUUUCCUUCUCCAAUGAAUGAAAGUGAAAAGUGAAAGUGAAGUCGCUCAGUCGUGUCUGACCCUCAGCAACCCCAUGGACUGUAGCCCACCAGGCUCCUCCAUCCAUGGGAUUUUCCAGGCAAGAGUACUGGAGUGGGGUGCCACUGCCUUCUCCGGCCAUUCCUAACUAGUAUAUACAUUAAGCUUUUGAGUCUUUUUCUUUCACUUACAUAGUGCAUUGGGAUAUAGAACACUGUUUGUAUCAACAGCCUGUCUGUUUUCAUUAUCAAAUAGUAUUCCAUUCUAUGGAUGUACUACAUUUUUAUUUAGCUUUUUCCCAGUUGACGGACUUUGGAGUUGUUUCAAGAUUUUAGUGAUUAAAUUGAUAUAAAUAUUUAUUUAGAGGAUUUUGCAUGAAUAUAGGCCUAUCAUUUCACUUUGGUAAAUAUCUAGUGGAAAAUUGGGCCAUAUGGAGAAGUGUAUAUUGAAUUUUACAAUAUCUGUGAAACUGAGAGUUGCAGUCCCACUAUGCACUCCCGUCAACAAUAUACAAGAAUUCUGGUUGCUCUGCAUCCUCAUCAGAAUUUGAUAUCAUCAGAUUUUUCCAACCAUUAUAUCAAGUGUAUGAUAGUAUCUCAUUGUGGUUUUAAUUAGCAUUUUACUAAUGAUUAGUGGAACUGAGAUAGAUUAGUAUCUUCUGCUACAAGUCCUGUGUCAGACAUAUGAUUUGGAAAUAUUUUCUCCCAGUCUGUAUCUUUUUAUUCUGUCAACAGUUUUGUUUGCAGAGCAAAUGUUUUUAAUUUUGAUAAAGCCCAAUUUAUUUAUUCUUUUAUAAAUUGUGGUUUGGAUCUUAAAAUUGAACAUUUAUAUGUUAAAAGCCAAAUUUAUAAAAAGAACAAAAGAAUAAAUUCCUCCUAACAACAACA